Molecule: ribosomal RNA, 61 nt
Filed under: Candidatus Cloacimonadota bacterium
Lineage: Bacteria; Pseudomonadati; Candidatus Cloacimonadota
Description: partial 16S ribosomal RNA
Rfam family: Bacterial small subunit ribosomal RNA
Source: RNAcentral
AUGAUGGAGAGUUUGAUCCUGGCUCAGGACGAACGCUGGCGGCGUGGAUUAGGCAUGCAAG